UACGUAGGGUGCAAGCGUUAUCCGGAAUUAUUGGGCGUAAAGAGCUCGUAGGCGGUUUGUCGCGUCUGCUGUGAAAACUGGAGGCUCAACCUCCAGCCUGCAGUGGGUACGGGCAGACUAGAGUGCGGUAGGGGAGAUUGGAAUUCCUGGUGUAGCGGUGGAAUGCGCAGAUAUCAGGAGGAACACCGAUGGCGGAAGGCGGGUCUCUGGGCCGAUACUGACGCUGAGGAGCGAAAGCGUGGGGAGCAAACAGG
This 254-nucleotide ribosomal RNA is filed under the name uncultured bacterium. RNAcentral describes it as "partial 16S ribosomal RNA". It matches the Rfam family "Bacterial small subunit ribosomal RNA", at positions 524 to 776 of the family's 1533-position model. The record is from RNAcentral.